This is a long non-coding RNA of Passer domesticus (house sparrow), 842 nucleotides long. RefSeq lists it as uncharacterized. NCBI's taxonomy places the organism in Eukaryota, Metazoa, Chordata, Aves, Passeriformes, Passeridae. The transcript has 4 exons. The record is from RefSeq and is a predicted model, not a curated record.
CUGCACAUUGCAGAUGGCUUCAUUAUGUGUAUUUAAUUUCAGUACUUAAGCAAACAUACAAAAGUAGGGCUUACAAACUGCUUUAGGAUACGACGGUUAUGUACAGUCAAAUGAAACGGAAACAAAACGGAAACAACUGAUACUCCUUGGGCUGGAGACAAAGACUGUAAAGAAAUCCAAGAAGAGUAACCCAGCACAAAAGCCUGAACUCUUUGACCUCUCAGGCCUUGGGCUUGGACAAUUGGCCAAGCUGGGCUUUUUCCUGAGAACUGCCCGAGGGCAAAGGCUGAGAAAAGAUGCACAUUGUUCAUGGCACCAUCCAUUAAAGGCAAGGGCUGAAAGGCAAAAGGAUCUUUCCAGGUUAUAGCAGAGCUGAGAAUGCAGCCUGACACUCAUUUUCAAGCAUGAGUGUCUCCUUUUCAAGAUAGAUCUAGCCUGGAGCAGAAAAAUACCACCAGCCUGCAGCAGGAAAAAGGAGACAGUGAAUGUUUCCCACUGAAAUAUACAGUCAUCUUCUCAAAAGGAUUAACUUCUUCAUCAGCAUCUUAGAACUCAAAGUGAGCCUUCACCUUCACACCAGAGGCUCAUGUGCUUUCAAACCAUUUGAGAUUCCACUUCUGCUCAUCUGUAGGCACAUGUGACACAAAGUGUGAUCUGCCUGUGUCUUUAUCAUGAAUCAUUUACAUUCCUCUGCACAGCAUAAAGCACUCAAGCUAGAGAUGCUCCACACUUGUUUUGUGUAUGAUAAGGGUUUAUGCACUCCCUGGCUCAGACUUUAGGAAAAGAAAUUUUUUAUAAUUGGUUUACUCCAGAGGAGAUUUGGGAGGAGUUAGACAUUAAGA